GACGUAGGGCGCGAGCGUUGUCCGGAUUUAUUGGGCGUAAAGAGCUCGUAGGCGGCUUGUCGCGUCGACUGUGAAAUCCCGCGGCUCAACUGCGGGUCUGCAGUCGAUACGGGCAUCACUUGAGUUCGGCAGGGGAGACUGGAAUUCCUGGUGUAGCGGUGAAAUGCGCAGAUAUCAGGAGGAACACCGGUGGCGAAGGCGGGUCUCUGGGCCGAUACUGACGCUGAGGAGCGAAAGCAUGGGUAGCGAACAGG
Molecule: ribosomal RNA, 254 nt
Filed under: uncultured bacterium
Lineage: Bacteria
Description: partial 16S ribosomal RNA
Rfam family: Bacterial small subunit ribosomal RNA
Source: RNAcentral